UCGCUUUGCUUUACCGGACUGCUGCUGGCUCCAGUCUGCAAAUUGGGAGGGAGGAGGGCGGAGUGACUGAAGGAAAGCAAAUCUAAUUGGGAAGGUUUUUCAGGACAUGUCCCUUAAUUAACUACCACCUUUGUGAUCAAGAACAGGUUACAAGCUGAGACAGAAGAAUCAUAUAAACCCAAAGAAGAAUGCCCUGAAUAAUUUUACAAUCCAGGACACAAUGUUUUCACCAAUGAUGGAACAGUGUUCACCAGUGGAAGGGUAUUGCAGUUGUCACUCUGAUUCUACAUUCUAGUUCUCUAAGAUGCUGGAAAUGAUCUGUAGCAAGUCUUCAGUCAUACAAUGUUGUCUUAACACUUUUAGAGUAGAGAAGCACCAUAGCAGCUGGCUCACAGGGAAAUUAUAUAUUUAGUUCAAAAAGCUGUCGAUAUAAUGUAAAUGUUUAACUUACAUAUUUAAUUUAUGUGCUUGACA
Molecule: long non-coding RNA, 474 nt
Organism: Sarcophilus harrisii (Tasmanian devil)
Lineage: Eukaryota; Metazoa; Chordata; Mammalia; Dasyuromorphia; Dasyuridae
Exons: 3
Source: RefSeq, a predicted model, not a curated record